Molecule: ribosomal RNA, 784 nt
Filed under: uncultured bacterium
Lineage: Bacteria
Description: bacterial SSU rRNA
Rfam family: Bacterial small subunit ribosomal RNA
Source: RNAcentral
UCGGAGUGCUUGCACUCUGUGAAACAAGAUACAGGCUAGCGGCGGACGGGUGAGUAACACGUGGGUAACCUGCCCAAGAGAUCGGGAUAACACCUGGAAACAGAUGCUAAUACCGGAUAACAACAGAUGAUGCCUAUCAACUGUUUAAAAGAUGGUUCUGCUAUCACUCUUGGAUGGACCUGCGGUGCAUUAGCUAGUUGGUAGGGUAACGGCCUACCAAGGCGAUGAUGCAUAGCCGAGUUGAGAGACUGAUCGGCCACAUUGGGACUGAGACACGGCCCAAACUCCUACGGGAGGCAGCAGUAGGGAAUCUUCCACAAUGGACGCAAGUCUGAUGGAGCAACGCCGCGUGAGUGAAGAAGGGUUUCGGCUCGUAAAGCUCUGUUGUUGGUGAAGAAGGACAGGGGUAGUAACUGACCUUUGUUUGACGGUAAUUAAUUAGAAAGUCACGGCUAACUACGUGCCAGCAGCCGCGGUAAUACGUAGGUGGCAAGCGUUGUCCGGAUUUAUUGGGCGUAAAGCGAGUGCAGGCGGCUCGAUAAGUCUGAUGUGAAAGCCUUCGGCUCAACCGGAGAAUUGCAUCAGAAACUGUCGAGCUUGAGUACAGAAGAGGAGAGUGGAACUCCAUGUGUAGCGGUGAAAUGCGUAGAUAUAUGGAAGAACACCGGUGGCGAAGGCGGCUCUCUGGUCUGUUACUGACGCUGAGGCUCGAAAGCAUGGGUAGCGAACAGGAUUAGAUACCCUGGUAGUCCAUGCCGUANACGAUGAGUGCUAAGUGUUGGGA